GUUGCUUUCCACAAGAAAGUUUGAGUGAUCAGCACUCAAAAAGGUUAAGCACUACCAUAGGUAAUCCAUACGACCUUCUCACCAUCUUUCACUUUCAGAUACAAGAAAAGCAAAUGCUGGAUUGAUCAAUGACCAUUGUGUGAUCUGUCUUGAGAUUGAGCAGUAGGGAUCAAGUAAUAACACUCUUGGAUUUAGCCUAAUUAUACAUCACGCCAAUUUCUUAACCUCUUUACAGGCCGACAUGCUCAAGCUCGUGAAUGUAAAACACUACUACAUGUAUGUUGUACGCGCAGAAAGGCCAUUACUCCUAAAAGACCCACCAUGGUUGAAGUAAAGUGAAGCCUCGAGUGCAGUUAGAGGAGGGAGAGCAAGUGCAUAUGAGAGCUAAAAAGCGAUGCAGCAGCUUUGUGGACGGAGAAGGAUGGGUUGACUUUGGUCCGCACGAAGUCAAACAUAGAAAAGAAGCCGGCAAUUUCAUCUGCUGAAACCAAGUCUGUACCUACUCUUUCAAGCUGCUGCACAUUUACAGAGGAUGGCGGGCAAGCGAAGGCGACGAUGGUACCCACACCUGGAUGUUCAGAGUCUUUGUAUUCAACAGAUAAGGGAAGGUCUGGAACAUGGCGGGAACGUUUUUCAAGGUCAGAAAUUGCAUCCCAGGAACGAUGGAGCAGUUCUGAGUUUACCACCAAAUUUGCCAAUUCCAGUCCACUGCUAAACCUGCAACCGUUAAGACGACAAAUUGGAAUUGGGAUUUCGGCGGGCACUCAUACGUUAAGUUAAUAGGGAGAGGAUCAUUGCUUACUUGCAUGAUUGGCUCAUUUUCUAGUUCUGGGGUGGGUGACCGUGACGUGCUUUGUCCGCAACAACUGAGCUUCCAAGUUUGAUAAUACUACUGUAUCAUAAUAAUAACUGGAGAGAUGGACGAUGAUAAGAAUUAAGAAACAAACUUUCGGUAGGUCAAUAAAUUAAUUACGGACCCCGUAAGAGAGGUGCCCGGUCUUUCC
Non-coding RNA from Coffea arabica (coffee), 1004 nucleotides. NCBI's taxonomy places the organism in Eukaryota, Viridiplantae, Streptophyta, Magnoliopsida, Gentianales, Rubiaceae. The record is from RefSeq and is a predicted model, not a curated record.